This 1048-nucleotide long non-coding RNA is filed under the name Homo sapiens (human). Its description in RNAcentral is "HSALNT0298661". The record is from RNAcentral. Lineage: Eukaryota; Metazoa; Chordata; Mammalia; Primates; Hominidae.
AAUGAGACCCUCCACCCAGAUGAGCAUGAGCCCAGCCAGGGUGGGCUGUUCAGUUUCUUCCCUGGGAAUCUGGAGCUGGAUUGAGCUGGUCUGCAGCCUGGUCUGAGAGCCCAGCAGGCUCGAGACACUGCAACCUGGCCUGGCCGUGGGCAGGCAGGGAGUGGAGGUUGCGGCAUCGUCUGGGCAGAGGAGCUGGGGCGUUUGCCAGAAGUCUCCAACGGGCCAUCUGGUCCCAGAGAGCAGAGCACACAGCCUCAAGAAAUACGAGAAAGGCGGCAGGGGCAGAGUGGACACAACCUGAAAACCAACUGGACUGAGCAUCCUUCUCCUAAAAUCUCAGCCAGAAGCCACGAUGGAGGGUCCUGGGAAGGGAAGAGAUGUGAAGAUUUCUGUGAUUCUAAAACCUUGGGUCUGCCUGCAAACUUCUCUCUGAUCCCAGCCGAGAGCUGUGCACACGCUAGCUAGCCCUGUCACACAAUAGCCCAGUGUUCCCGUCACAGUGCCUGGGAAUGAGAGGCUUUUGAGGCCACAGAGCUAUGACAAGUCCCCAGGUUGAAUUGACUCUGGGAGGACAAAUUUCUGAGAGACUCACGGGACCCUUAUCCAGGACAACCUCACAAAGAUCCCUGAAACUGAGCUUCCUCUGCUUCGUGCAUAGUUUGAGGUAUAAACUUUCCUUGUGUCUCGGUCAGAUGAAGUGAAGGAUGAAUAUUAUCCCAGGCUAAAGUAACGAAAAGUCCAGAAGCCAGCGAUGACAGAGAUGUGUGUGGAAGAAGGCUGUGAGCAUUUCCAUCAAACCCUGUGAGUUUCCGAAGAUCUUAUCCCGAAGAUAUGUGUUUGGCCAAUAAAACACUGAAUAAAAAUCCAUCAUGUUUCCAGAGCCAAGUCGACUUCUGCUGGGCUGGGGUGAGGCAGAGGCAGAAUCAGACCUUAUAAAGAUGUUUUGAAUAGCGGCUGUUCUGGGAUCGCAGCCCAGUGACAGUGAAUGCUUUCUGAGUUCUCGGAUGAGAAGGAACAGAGUGACAGACUGACCAUAACUGGCCACUGU